GACGAACGCUGGCGGCGUGCUUAACACAUGCAAGUCGAACGAAGAGCGAUGGAAGCUUGCUUCUAUCAAUCUUAGUGGCGAACGGGUGAGUAACGCGUAAUCAACCUGCCCUUCAGAGGGGGACAACAGUUGGAAACGACUGCUAAUACCGCAUACGAUCUAAUCUCGGCAUCGAGGAAAGAUGAAAGGUGGCCUCUAUUUAUAAGCUAUCACUGAAGGAGGGGAUUGCGUCUGAUUAGCUAGGUGGAGGGGUAACGGCCCACCAAGGCGAGGAUCAGUAGCCGGUCUGAGAAGAUGGACGGCCACAUUGGGACUGAGACCCGGCCCAGACUCCUACGGGAGGCAGCAGUGGGGAAUCUUCCGCAAUGGACGAAAGUCUGACGGAGCAACGCCGCGUGAGUGAUGACGGCCUUCGGGUUGUAAAGCUCUGUUAAUCGGGACGAAAGGCCUUCUUGCGAACAGUUAGAAGGAUUGACGGUACCGGAAUAGAAAGCCACGGCUAACUACGUG
RNAcentral lists this ribosomal RNA (510 nucleotides) under uncultured bacterium. RNAcentral describes it as "partial 16S ribosomal RNA". It matches the Rfam family "Bacterial small subunit ribosomal RNA", at positions 28 to 507 of the family's 1533-position model. The record is from RNAcentral.